This 31-nucleotide non-coding RNA is filed under the name Rattus norvegicus (Norway rat). Lineage: Eukaryota; Metazoa; Chordata; Mammalia; Rodentia; Muridae. The record is from RNAcentral.
UGGGUGACCGACAAUGAAUACUGAAUCUAUG